GGCUGGUUCACUGGUAAUGGGUUAUCAGAACUUAUUAACAUUAGUGUCACUAAAGUUGGUAUACAACUCUCUCACUGCUAAAUUUGUGUGGCUUAAA
RNAcentral lists this non-coding RNA (97 nucleotides) under Nomascus leucogenys (northern white-cheeked gibbon). Lineage: Eukaryota; Metazoa; Chordata; Mammalia; Primates; Hylobatidae. The record is from RNAcentral.